UCAGGCCUGGCGUCCAGAACUUAAGAGUUGGCUCCGGGCGGCAACGGGGAUGCAGAAGCGAGCGAGCCUGCGAGAGCACCGAGGCUAGCCUCCGAGGCGAACCCCAGAAACGCCAGGACGGGUAACUUGCCCCUUUGCGCUUCCCCGCUCAGCGCACUCAGUUUGCGGCUGGGAAUGACCCUCGCCGCCCGCCGUUCUUCUUCCGGAAGUCGUUGGCCGUUACCAUAGUGACUGCAGGCGUCCGGAGCGCUGAGCAGAGUCCCAGCUGCUAGGGAGGCUGAGGCAGGAUUGCUUGAGCCUGGGAAGCGGAGGUUGGAGGAAGCCGUGAUUGUACCACUGCAUUCCAGCCAGGGCAACAGAGCAAGACUCCAUCUCAAAAAUAAUUGUCCAUUUCAUCCAAGUUGUAUAAUUUGUUGGCAUAAAAUUGUUCAAAGGAUC
This 438-nucleotide long non-coding RNA is filed under the name Homo sapiens (human). Its description in RNAcentral is "novel transcript". Lineage: Eukaryota; Metazoa; Chordata; Mammalia; Primates; Hominidae. The record is from RNAcentral.